UACGAAGGGGGCUAGCGUUGCUCGGAAUCACUGGGCGUAAAGGGCGCGUAGGCGGCCAUUCAAGUCAGGGGUGAAAGCCUGUGGCUCAACCACAGAAUUGCCUUUGAUACUGUUUGGCUAGAGACCGGAAGAGGUGAGUGGAACUGCGAGUGUAGAGGUGAAAUUCGUAGAUAUUCGCAAGAACACCAGUGGCGAAGGCGGCUCACUGGUCCGGUUCUGACGCUGAGGCGCGAAAGCGUGGGGAGCAAACAGG
This 253-nucleotide ribosomal RNA is filed under the name uncultured bacterium. Its description in RNAcentral is "partial 16S ribosomal RNA". It matches the Rfam family "Bacterial small subunit ribosomal RNA", at positions 524 to 776 of the family's 1533-position model. The record is from RNAcentral.